This 19-nucleotide non-coding RNA is filed under the name Arabidopsis thaliana (thale cress). RNAcentral also lists the same sequence under 1 other name. Lineage: Eukaryota; Viridiplantae; Streptophyta; Magnoliopsida; Brassicales; Brassicaceae. The record is from RNAcentral.
ACUUGGGUAUAGGGGCGAA